Xyrichtys novacula (pearly razorfish) is the source of this 70-nucleotide non-coding RNA. NCBI's taxonomy places the organism in Eukaryota, Metazoa, Chordata, Actinopteri, Labriformes, Labridae. The record is from the annotation of a GenBank genome assembly.
GAGCUGUGAUGACUUCUUAGGACACCUUUGGAUUAAAGCUGAAAAGAACUCGUUAACACACCUGAGCUGU